ACACGCAACCUAAAGUACUGUUGUGAGACUCGAGAGAUGGGAUGUUUGCCCCUCUCUGCACCAUCACGCACCCCCUCUCUACUCUCUGUUUUGGUCUCACGCCACCUAUCUCUAUAUAUCUCACGCAACCUCUCUUUAUCUCUCACGCCACAAAAUUCUGGUUUUGUGAGGCUCAAAAUGCAAGUUUGAGGCUCAAACGCAGAGUUUGCUAUGAGGCUCAACAUGCAAAGUUUGCUAUGAGGCUUAAAACGUAGCCCAGAGUAUUUGGUUUUGAUCAACAUUAAGCUUGCAGGUUUGUUGUUGUGGUUUUGAUCAUGGGUUCCUUAUGCCUAUAUUUUGUUGUCUGUUUGGGGAUUUGAUCAUUGGUUUUGUGUAUGAUUUUAUAUGGGUUCUGUGUAUAAUUUUAUACUAGAGUAUUUGGUUUUGUGCAUGAUUUUAUAUGGGAUUUUAUUUGUGAUUUGGUUUUGUUGAUGGUGCAGAGAGAUUCUGUAUAUGUGAUUUGUCUAUCACUGUUUGGGGAUUUGAUCAUUUUAUAUGGAAUUUUAUAUGAUUUCAAAACACAACCUAGAGUAUAUGGAUUUUGUGUAUUUGAUUUGAUUUUAUACCAGAAUACGAUUUUGAUCAUUGUAUGCGUAGCUUUGUAUGAUAGUAUAGAUUUUCUAGAAAUUAUGCAUUUCAGAAAUUUCGAACCAUUUGGCAAGGUAAUGAAUUUCUUGAUUGUUUCCUUUGUGCCCUUUUGUUGUUCGAUGAAAUGCUCAAAUGAAUGGUCAUUGUGAAAAUCAGUUUUAACUUGAUCUAUCCAUGUGUGUUUAUAGGAGCAAAAGUUCAAGAAGUUAGUGAUAGAUCCUGGUGCUGCCAAGGAUUUUGAAAGACCAUUCAAGCCACAUCGGAAGCCAGAUGAGCAUGUAGAAUAGAGCCAAUCUUAUGAUCAUCUAGGGCCCAAGCCUUCCAAAUCUGAACAUUUCCCCAACUCCUUUGGAAGCAAUUCAAACUCCGAAGAAUUACCGUAAACCUAGGCACAUCCAUGCUGCAGCAUCUUCUCCACCCCACCCCACCCCCAAAAAAAUUUAUCUAAUCUUGCAGCAAACAUCGAACUUUUGAAUUU
This 1105-nucleotide long non-coding RNA is filed under the name Actinidia chinensis (golden kiwifruit). RNAcentral's name for it is "long non-coding RNA (ACHI_LNC008671)". The record is from RNAcentral. Lineage: Eukaryota; Viridiplantae; Streptophyta; Magnoliopsida; Ericales; Actinidiaceae.